Molecule: small nuclear RNA, 117 nt
Filed under: Salmo trutta (river trout)
Lineage: Eukaryota; Metazoa; Chordata; Actinopteri; Salmoniformes; Salmonidae
Description: U5 spliceosomal RNA (ENSSTUG00000004047.1)
Rfam family: U5 spliceosomal RNA
About the family: U5 RNA is a component of both types of known spliceosome. The precise function of this molecule is unknown, though it is known that the 5' loop is required for splice site selection and p220 binding, and that both the 3' stem-loop and the Sm site are important for Sm protein binding and cap methylation.
Source: Rfam by way of RNAcentral
CGACUCUGGUUUCUCUUCAUUACGCACAAGCCUUUCGCCUUUUACUAAAGACUUCCGUGGAGAGGAACACUUACGAGUUCAACAUAUUUUUGGAAGUGCUUUGCUUCUGGCAGAGCC